UACGAAGGGGGCUAGCGUUGUUCGGAUUUACUGGGCGUAAAGCGCACGUAGGCGGAUCGUUAAGUCGGGGGUGAAAUCCUGGAGCUCAACUCCAGAACUGCCUUCGAUACUGGCGAUCUUGAGUCCGGAAGAGGUGAGUGGAACUCCUAGUGUAGAGGUGGAAUUCGUAGAUAUUAGGAAGAACACCAGUGGCGAAGGCAGCCCCCCUGGGCGAACUACUGACGCUCAUGCACGAAAGCGUGGGUAGCAAACAGGAUUAG
Molecule: ribosomal RNA, 260 nt
Filed under: uncultured bacterium
Lineage: Bacteria
Description: partial 16S ribosomal RNA
Rfam family: Bacterial small subunit ribosomal RNA
Source: RNAcentral